Long non-coding RNA from Aethalodelphis obliquidens (Pacific white-sided dolphin), 1848 nucleotides. RefSeq lists it as uncharacterized. The transcript has 3 exons. The record is from RefSeq and is a predicted model, not a curated record. NCBI's taxonomy places the organism in Eukaryota, Metazoa, Chordata, Mammalia, Artiodactyla, Delphinidae.
GAGUCGGAAUCGGGGCAGGAGAAUGUCUCUGGUAACUGAUUACCACAGCUGGGGGUGAUACUCUUUAACACGUGAGGUAGAAAUUACAAUCUGAAAAUGGUUGGUGGUGGCAAGCAGCAGCAGGAAUUUCACAUCUCCUGAACGAUGGCGUGGGCCUGCUGUACGUGCUGUAAAUAUAACUGAUUUAAAUCAUCUCAGUUUAUGAGGUAUGUACUGUUAUUACCUCCAUUAUACAGAUAAGGAAUCUGAGGCAGAGAAAGACUGAGUCACUUGCCCAAUGUUUUCAAGCUAGGAAAUCUCAUUCCGUGGUCACGCUCUUUGCCAUCAACUACACAUAAAAUGAAAUACCUCCCACUCUCAAGGACCAUGCAGAAAGAGAUGCAGGGAAAGAUGGAGUUCAGUCAGUAAUAUGUCUCUUACUAUAGACAGAGUGUUUGCAUUUUUAAUAAUAUAUAUGCUACGAGAGUCCACUAAAAAUAUAUUAAAUUCUUUUUAACUAAAUUUCUUGGUGUUUCUAAUUCUUGAGGAGUAACGAUAUAAUGAAAGAGGAGGUCAGGAAAAUUUUAGAAGCUUAGUGGUGCUGGUUUGCAAAAGUUUUCCUGAAAUAGCUUUUCAUAAUGUUCAUUGAAGGGCAUGAAAUAACAGACAAACUUAGGAAAAGGGGAUUCCUAACCAGAUCAAGAGAAGCAACUAGCUACAUGACGAGGGUGGUUCUCCAACACCACUUAGUUUUGGGUGCUUGAAGCACGUCUCACAGGGGCUUCCCGGAGCUCAAGGCUGGCACAGCAGGAAUGACAUGAGGGUAACAGUGGCGUUCUGGUUUGUCUCACUGGCUUAUGUGUCAUCAGCACAGCCCAAUCAUCACUCACAAUAACAGAUGUUUUUUAACAAAAUAUGGGCACAAAACUAAGCAAACUAGUCAUGGUGCUAAAACUAUGAGAAAUCACAUGUCAAGAAAUAAGAGGGAUCUCUACAUAUAUUAACUGAUACAUAUAACUACCUUCUUAUUGUUCUCCUGUGAGGUUUUAUUUUCAGAUAGUCACAGGUUCCAUCAGUGCCUUUCAGAAUGCCCACAGCCUGGACUGAUGUCCUCGGUCUUUAUGGAGUCCUCAUUAUUACUAUGCCUUUCAUCUCAGGUAAGGCUUCCCUUUAGCUUAACUUGUUCAGAAAUCUGUUCUGAUUAAAACUGGCCAAAGGAUGAUAAAUACUCCUGCCAACUGUCAGUCCCUUAAUGGUCAAUGACUAACUACUCAUCUGUACAGCACUAACAAUAAUUUUACUUCCGUUACAGACACCCACCCAACUAGUUCAGAUGUGUUCAAUGACUGAGCAGCUUUGAACAAGGACCCAGGGGUCUGAUCAACCGUUCCCAAUUCUGGGCUGUACACUCUGGCAGCACAAACUGAAGUCCACGGCAAAUUGAUAAAGAAUGGACAUUGGCAUAUCCAGUGUUACCUGACCUGUGACAGUGCAACAGACUGAGUGCAUAAGGACAUAAAAGAUGCCGGUUCUCUGGGAUUAAGGCAAGACAUUAAAGAGAUUUUCAAAAUGUAAAACAAUGCCACUUUUCUAACUAAAUUUUUUGUUUUGGAAAAGUUUGUUCUUCCACAAAAACAUGUCAUUUCUGUUAACAUGUAAUGAAUUGUUCUCUUUAAAUAUUAAAAAAUUCUUGAUUUUAAUUUCUAAUAUGGUAAAUAUCAGUAUAUGUUGUAUGUAUGUAACAUAUAGAACCCACGUUAAAAACUCUCGGGCGGGGGGGCGGCGGUUUCCCUGGCAGCGCAGUGGUUAAGAAUCCGCCUGCCUACGCAGGGGACACGGGUUCGAGCCCUGGUCCAGGAAGAUCCCACA